GUUUUUGUAGCUUAAGGUAAAGCAUGACACUGAAGAUGUCAAGACGGAUGCUUCACGCACCCAAAGACA
Malurus melanocephalus (red-backed fairy wren) is the source of this 69-nucleotide non-coding RNA. NCBI's taxonomy places the organism in Eukaryota, Metazoa, Chordata, Aves, Passeriformes, Maluridae. The record is from the annotation of a RefSeq genome assembly.